RNAcentral lists this ribosomal RNA (497 nucleotides) under uncultured bacterium. RNAcentral describes it as "partial 16S ribosomal RNA". It matches the Rfam family "Bacterial small subunit ribosomal RNA", at positions 28 to 507 of the family's 1533-position model. The record is from RNAcentral.
GACGAACGCUGGCGGCGUGCCUAAUACAUGCAAGUCGAGCGAAAAGACGCGGCGCUUGCUCCUCUGACGUUAGCGGCGGACGGGUGAGUAACAUGUGGAUAACCUACCUAUCAGACUGGGAUAACUUCGGGACACCGGCGCUAAUACCGGAUAAUAUAUUGAUCCGUAUGGUUCAAUAGUGAAAGACGGUUUUGCUGUCACUUAUAGCUGCAUCCCCGCCUCAUGAGCUAGUUGGUAAGGUCAAGGCUUAUCAAGGCAACGAUGCGUAGCCGACUUGCGAGGCUGAUCGGCCACACGGGAACUUAGACACGGACCAUACGCCUACGGUAGGCAGCAGUAGGGAAUCGGCCGCAAUAGGCGAAAGCCUUACGGAGCAGCGGCGCGUGAGUGAUGAAGGUCUUCGGAUCGGAAAACUCGGUUAUUAGGGGAGAACAAAUGUGUAAGUAACUGAGCACGUCUUGACGGUACCUGAUCAGAAAGCCACGGCUAACUACGUG